RNAcentral lists this ribosomal RNA (468 nucleotides) under uncultured bacterium. Its description in RNAcentral is "partial 16S ribosomal RNA". It matches the Rfam family "Bacterial small subunit ribosomal RNA", at positions 28 to 507 of the family's 1533-position model. The record is from RNAcentral.
GACGAACGCUGGCGGCGUGCUUAACACAUGCAAGUCGAACGGAAAGGCCCUGCUUUUGUGGGGUGCUCGAGUGGCGAACGGGUGAGUAACACGUGAGUAACCUGCCCUUGACUUUGGGAUAACUUCAGGAAACUGGGGCUAAUACCGGAUAGGAGCUCCUGCUGCAUGGUGGGGGUUGGAAAGUUUCGGCGGUGGGGGAUGGACUCGCGGCUUAUCAGCUUGUUGGUGGGGUAGUGGCUUACCAAGGCUUUGACGGGUAGCCGGCCUGAGAGGGUGACCGGCCACAUUGGGACUGAGAUACGGCCCAGACUCAUACGGGAGGCAGCAGUGCGGAAUAUUGCACAAUGGGCGGAAGCCUGAUGCAGCAACGCCGCGUGCGGGAUGACGGCCUUCGGGUUGUAAAACGCAUUCGCCUGUGACGAAGCGUGAGUGACGGUAAUGGGUAAAGAAGCACCGGCUAACUACGUG